This 566-nucleotide ribosomal RNA is filed under the name Streptomyces sp. 410A04. RNAcentral describes it as "bacterial SSU rRNA". It matches the Rfam family "Bacterial small subunit ribosomal RNA", at positions 93 to 672 of the family's 1533-position model. The record is from RNAcentral. Lineage: Bacteria; Bacillati; Actinomycetota; Actinomycetes; Kitasatosporales; Streptomycetaceae.
UAGUGGCGAACGGGUGAGUAACACGUGGGCAAUCUGCCCUGCACUCUGGGACAAGCCCUGGAAACGGGGUCUAAUACCGGAUACGAGUUUCAUAGGCAUCUGUGAUUCUGGAAAGCUCCGGCGGUGCAGGAUGGGCCCGCGGCCUAUCAGCUUGUUGGUGAGGUAAUGGCUCACCAAGGCGACGACGGGUAGCCGGCCUGAGAGGGCGACCGGCCACACUGGGACUGAGACACGGCCCAGACUCCUACGGGAGGCAGCAGUGGGGAAUAUUGCACAAUGGGCGGAAGCCUGAUGCAGCGACGCCGCGUGAGGGAUGACGGCCUUCGGGUUGUAAACCUCUUUCAGCAGGGAAGAAGCGCAAGUGACGGUACCUGCAGAAGAAGCGCCGGCUAACUACGUGCCAGCAGCCGCGGUAAUACGUAGGGCGCAAGCGUUGUCCGGAAUUAUUGGGCGUAAAGAGCUCGUAGGCGGCUUGUCGCGUCGGUUGUGAAAGCCCGGGGCCUUACCCCCGGGUCUGCAGUCGAUACGGGCAGGCUAGAGUUCGGUAGGGGAGAUCGGAAUUCCCU